This 418-nucleotide ribosomal RNA is filed under the name uncultured archaeon. Its description in RNAcentral is "bacterial SSU rRNA". It matches the Rfam family "Archaeal small subunit ribosomal RNA", at positions 322 to 746 of the family's 1478-position model. The record is from RNAcentral.
CCUACGGGUGGCACCAGGCGCGAAACCUCCGCAAUACACGAAAGUGUGACGGGGUUACCCAAAGUGUUCUAUUUAGAACUGUGGUAGGUGAGUAAUGUCCCCUACUAGAAAGGAGAGGGCAGGGCUGGUGCCAGCCGCCGCGGUAAAACCAGCUCUUCAAGUGGUCGGGAUAAUUAUUGGGCUUAAAGUGUCCGUAGCCGGUUUAGUAAGUUCCUGGUAAAAUCGGGUAGCUUAACUAUCUAUAUGCUAGGAAUACUGCUAUACUAGAGGGCGGGAGAGGUCUGAGGUACUACAGGGGUAGGGGUGAAAUCUUAUAAUCCUUGUAGGACCACCAGUGGCGAAGGCGUCAGACUGGAACGCGCCUGACGGUGAGGGACGAAAGUCAGGGGAGCGAACCGGAUUAGAUACCCCCGUAGUC